Molecule: ribosomal RNA, 433 nt
Filed under: Streptomyces sp.
Lineage: Bacteria; Bacillati; Actinomycetota; Actinomycetes; Kitasatosporales; Streptomycetaceae
Description: bacterial SSU rRNA
Rfam family: Bacterial small subunit ribosomal RNA
Source: RNAcentral
UGGCUCAGGACGAACGCUGGCGGCGUGCUUAACACAUGCAAGUCGAACGAUGAACCGCUUUCGGGCGGGGAUUAGUGGCGAACGGGUGAGUAACACGUGGGCAAUCUGCCCUGCACUCUGGGACAAGCCCUGGAAACGGGGUCUAAUACCGGAUAUGACCGUCUGCCGCAUGGUGGAUGGUGUAAAGCUCCGGCGGUGCAGGAUGAGCCCGCGGCCUAUCAGCUUGUUGGUGAGGUAGUGGCUCACCAAGGCGACGACGGGUAGCCGGCCUGAGAGGGCGACCGGCCACACUGGGACUGAGACACGGCCCAGACUCCUACGGGAGGCAGCAGUGGGGAAUAUUGCACAAUGGGCGAAAGCCUGAUGCAGCGACGCCGCGUGAGGGAUGACGGCCUUCGGGUUGUAAACCUCUUUCAGCAGGGAAGAAGCGAAA